This is a non-coding RNA of Nicotiana tabacum (common tobacco), 845 nucleotides long. NCBI's taxonomy places the organism in Eukaryota, Viridiplantae, Streptophyta, Magnoliopsida, Solanales, Solanaceae. The record is from RefSeq and is a predicted model, not a curated record.
AAAAAAAAUAACAAAACCUAUUCCCUUUCGACAGUAUUUGGCCUGCAAAAUCGCUCCGGUUAAUAGUCUCUAGUUAACAAAAUCAAUGUGGCCUGCGACAGCUCCGGCCUGCCACAGCCCCCGGCGAUCUUCUUCCCAAAUCCCAGGUUUCAAGAUUGCCGCAGAAAUCAUUAUUCUCUUUCACUUUCUUGUCUUUAUCGGCAAAACAUUCUGCUUACCAGGAAAAAUCAGAAUAAAUUUGAAGGAACAAUCUCAGUUGAAAGCUUUGAAUUUGAAAGAUUCGAGGCAUUCAGAGGUCGAUUUGAGAGACAAAGGCAUCGCGAGCUAGAGGAUUAGCCGAUUCGAGUUAAAGAAAGUCUAAUGCUUACUCACACUUCACUCAAGCACCCAAGCUGAAAGAGUCUGCAGAGCUGCCAUUAGAUGUACACUUUGUACAGGUGAUUGGAGAAAUUUUAGAAAGGAGGAAAAGAAGAAUAGAUCCCUAACGGCAACAGCGGAUAUGAACGAGUACCACAAACAUAAAGGAUACCUAGUGUUGCUGAAAAUGCUCUACCUUCUUACGGUUAUACAGUUCGAUGUUCGAUAAUUUAGCAGGUGGAAGAUUUCAAAAUGAUAAAAAAUUGUGGAAAUCAUUUGAAGACCAUCAUUCUUCUGGAUUAGUUAUAUAAUAACAUUAGCUAUUUAGUUCAAACAAUAUAAGUUUAGUUACAAUGACAUUAAUAUUUUUGAUUAGUACUUCCUUUUGUUUGUUAAAAUUUGAUGAGAUAUAUAUAUUUUUUUGAAUUAAUAUUAAUAUAUUUUCUUAUUUGAGUCAUAUUAUGGAUGAAUGUAGUAACUAUUAUUAA